CCUACGGGUGGCAGCAGUGGGGAAUAUUGGACAAUGGGGGCAACCCUGAUCCAGCCAUGCCGCGGGUGUGAAGAAGGCCCUCGGGUUGUAAAGCACUUUCAGUGAGGAAGAACGCCUGGUGGUUAAUACCCAUCAGGAAAGACAUCACUCACAGAAGAAGCACCGGCUAACUCCGUGCCAGCAGCCGCGGUAAUAUGGAGGGUGCGAGCGUUAAUCGGAAUUACUGGGCGUAAAGCGCGCGUAGGUGGCUUGAUAAGCCGGUUGUGAAAGCCCCGGGCUCAACCUGGGAACGGCAUCCGGAACUGUCAAGCUAGAGUGCAGGAGAGGAAGGUAGAAUUCCCGGUGUAGCGGUGAAAUGCGUAGAGAUCGGGAGGAAUACCAGUGGCGAAGGCGGCCUUGUGGACUGACACUGACACUGAGGUGCGAAAGCGUGGGUAGCAAACAGGAUUAGAUACCCCGGUAGUC
This 465-nucleotide ribosomal RNA is filed under the name Vreelandella stevensii. RNAcentral's name for it is "partial 16S ribosomal RNA". It matches the Rfam family "Bacterial small subunit ribosomal RNA", at positions 338 to 795 of the family's 1533-position model. The record is from RNAcentral. Lineage: Bacteria; Pseudomonadati; Pseudomonadota; Gammaproteobacteria; Oceanospirillales; Halomonadaceae.